GCAGAGUAGGAAUGAAAGCGUUAAGUGCCCAGUGUACAGGGAGUUGACAUUGGGACGAAAGGUGGCCUUGCCGCUUGCGGUUUUUGUUCCGCAUCCCGCUGC
RNAcentral lists this non-coding RNA (102 nucleotides) under human gut metagenome. Its description in RNAcentral is "THF riboswitch". It matches the Rfam family "THF (Tetrahydrofolate) riboswitch aptamer". From Rfam's summary of the family: THF riboswitch presents a pseudoknot that joins P1-P2 and the loop of P3 and two THF binding. The record is from RNAcentral.